GCAAGUCGUACGUGAAAGCGGACUUCGGUCCGUAAGUAAAGUGGCGCACGGGUUAGUAACCCGUUCAUAAUCUACCCGACAGACAGGGAUAACAUUCCGAAAGGAAUGCUAAUACCUGAUAAGACUACGCCCUCCUCGCAGGAAGUAGGAAAAGGUGGGGACCUUCGGGCCUACCGUUGUCGGAUGAGUCCGCGGCCCAUUAGCUAGUUGGUAGGGUAAUGGCCUACCAAGGCUACGAUGGGUAGCUGGUCUGAGAGGAUGAUC
This 264-nucleotide ribosomal RNA is filed under the name uncultured bacterium. RNAcentral describes it as "partial 16S ribosomal RNA". It matches the Rfam family "Bacterial small subunit ribosomal RNA", at positions 57 to 305 of the family's 1533-position model. The record is from RNAcentral.